AGCCAGGCUGUUGGAGAACUCUGAGUAUGGAUGAGGAUGCAUGAAGGUCCCUUCACCUACAUGAAAGGGAGAACGUGGGUGCUUGCUCUGAAGAUACAAGAAAAUAGGAGCUCACAGAAAGCAGGAGCAGAGUUGUUGGAGUACCCAGAAAACCUGUGGUCCUGGGGAACGUGGUGCCCCGUCUGCUGA
RNAcentral lists this long non-coding RNA (189 nucleotides) under Calidris pugnax (ruff). RNAcentral describes it as "lncRNA (ENSCPUG00000001672.1)". Lineage: Eukaryota; Metazoa; Chordata; Aves; Charadriiformes; Scolopacidae. The record is from RNAcentral.